This 690-nucleotide ribosomal RNA is filed under the name Triticum aestivum (bread wheat). RNAcentral's name for it is "partial small subunit ribosomal RNA". The record is from RNAcentral. Lineage: Eukaryota; Viridiplantae; Streptophyta; Magnoliopsida; Poales; Poaceae.
AUGAGCGCGGCGUCGGAGCAGGAGCUGUCGGUGUCGCUGGUUGGCUCCAACCUGCACGUGUUCACGGUCGCGGAGCUCAAGGCGGCGACGCAGGGGUUCCUGGACGACAACUUCCUCGGCGAGGGCGGGUUCGGGCCGGUCUACAAGGGCGCCGUCGACGACAAGGUCAAGCCCGGGCUCAAGGCGCAGCCCAUCGCCGUCAAGCUCUGGGACCCCCAGGGCGCCCAGGGCCACAAGGAGUGGCUGUCGGAGGUGAUCUUCCUGGGGCAGCUCCGGCACACGAACCUCGUGAAGUUGAUCGGUUACUGCUGUGAGCACGAGAACAGGCUGCUCGUCUACGAGUACAUGGCCAAAGGCAGCCUCGAGAACCAUCUCUUCAAAAAGUUCCCUCCCGUUCUGUCGUGGUCAACCCGGCUGAACAUCGCAGUGGGCGCCGCCAAGGGCCUCGCCUUCCUUCACGAUGCGGAGAAGCCCGUCAUAUAUCGCGACUUCAAGGCAUCCAACAUCUUACUCGAUCCGGACUACAAGGCGAAGUUAUCUGAUUUUGGCCUUGCGAAGGAUGGACCGGAAGGUGACGAGACCCAUGUCUCGACACGUGUCAUGGGCACCCAUGGCUACGCCGCACCAGAGUACAUCCUAACCGGUCACCUGACAGCAAAAAGCGAUGUUUACAGCUUUGGUGUUGUUCUU